GAUGAACGCUAGCUACAGGCUUAACACAUGCAAGUCGAGGGGCAGCGGGAUUGAAGCUUGCUUCAAUUGCCGGCGACCGGCGCACGGGUGAGUAACGCGUAUCCAACCUUCCGUACACUCAGGGAUAGCCUUUCGAAAGAAAGAUUAAUACCUGAUAGUAUGGUGAGAUUGCAUGAUAACACCAUUAAAGAUUUAUUGGUAAACGAUGGGGAUGCGUUCCAUUAGGUAGUAGGCGGGGUAACGGCCCACCUAGCCUGCGAUGGAUAGGGGUUCUGAGAGGAAGGUCCCCCACAUUGGAACUGAGACACGGUCCAAAACUCCUACGGGAGGCAGCAGUGAGGAAUAUUGGUCAAUGGGCGAGAGCCUGAACCAGCCAAGUAGCGUGAAGGAUGACGGCCCUAUGGGUUGUAAACUGCUUUUAUAAGGGAAUAAAGUGAGUCUCGUGAGACUUUUUGCAUGUACCUUAUGAAUAAGGACCGGCUAAUUCCGUG
Molecule: ribosomal RNA, 491 nt
Filed under: uncultured bacterium
Lineage: Bacteria
Description: bacterial SSU rRNA
Rfam family: Bacterial small subunit ribosomal RNA
Source: RNAcentral